This 5180-nucleotide long non-coding RNA is filed under the name Brachypodium distachyon (stiff brome). Its description in RNAcentral is "long non-coding RNA (BDIS_LNC000267)". The record is from RNAcentral. Lineage: Eukaryota; Viridiplantae; Streptophyta; Magnoliopsida; Poales; Poaceae.
UUGUCGGCGCCGCUCAUCUCCGCUGCGGUGGAGAUACAGGGGUUGUUGUUGCGCUGCGGCGGCGGCGGCGGGCAGGAGACAUCAAAAGGCCGAGCCGGGGCGGCGGGGCUGGGGGUUGCCGGCGGCCGCGCUGCCCACCCUGCCGGCCACAGGGACGGCGCGGCGCGGGAGAGGAGGGGGAGCUGGGUCUGAUCGCCGGGGCGCGGGUUCGGCCGGCGGCGGAGGCGAGGGCGUAGGGUUUGGAUUCGGCGUGGUUUAGGCGUCGGGGAGGAGAGAGAGAGAGAAGGGGUGGGGGGGUUGGGAUUUGGGAAGGAAGGAGGCGUGCGUGCGUGUGUCUAUCGGUCUCUGCGGGCGGGCGACUUUCUGGUGGGCCGGGCUGAGGUGUUUUUACUUGGACUCGUUGCGGGCCGUGCCGUGCGGUUUUUAUCCGUGCUAUUCGAAUUCUUUUUCUUAUGGUAAUGGUAAUUUAUAUUCUGUUGAAAAAACAUUUAUCGUGUGACAUGGAAAUUCAACGGUUGAUAUGGCGCAGCAACAUUCUACACAGAAACAAUAACGUUGUAGCGAAGUAGUACUACUAUGUCUUUUUUUCUUUUUUUUUAGAAGAGUACAUUUUUGGUCCUCAAUUGCACUGGAGUUUACAACUGGUUUUUGGUCAGUCCCUCGCUUGGUAUAUAGUUUUCGUCGGUCUUCCCGAUCCAGUCGGUUUUGAUGACUCCAUGUGAUGCGGUACUGCUUAGAACUUUGCCACGUAGGAUGCCACGCUGGCGCAUGGUUGUUUUCAUACCAACUGUACCGCCGCGGUGCCGGUCAGGCCGACCAUGUCACGAACCGUGACGUACCUGGGCCACUUGACACUAGCGACGCCCAGCCCAGAAGGAGCACCCGUCCCAGAAAGGGCAUCAUCCGAGAUUUAUGAAGCCCAAGCCCUUUUCGGUGACGUCUUUGACUAGCUACUUAGCCGUCUUCGUCCAAGAUUUGCGUGUUGUCGAUGAACGGAACUCUCUCAAGCACAAGCAUGCUCUCAUGUAAUUCUCUCCUCCUCCCCCGAAUUCAUCCUUCUUCUCAGUGAAUUCGUGUAUCUCAUCUAUAUACCGUCAGCGUACAACAGAAGUGGCAACACGGCGGACGCGUAUGUUGACAACUCGUCGAGGAAGCCAUGCGCGCCGCGUCGCUCGUUGACUCCAGGGAAGCCUAUGGUUACGAUUCGACGGGAGAGAGAGGGGUAGAGAUAGAGAGAGAUUAGACAUACUAACUCCGAUCUUAAAUUCUUGUUGUGGUUCUACUUCUAUUUGAACUAGAAUUUAGGAUCAAAGGGAGUGGAACUUACCUCCCGCUGGUAUAAAAACGGCAAGUUACUAGUGUAGCAUCCUACGUGGCAAUGUUAGGCAAAACCGCGCCACGUGGAGUCAAACCACUUCAUGCCGAUUGGAUUAGGAGGAACGGACCAAAACUAUCUGAUUUUGUCAAUUGAGAAACUAAAUGUUUAUGAAUUAUGAAUACGAGUUUAGUGGCUACUUUUUAAACCUUCUGUGUCAAUUGAGUGAUCAAAAAGAUACUUUUCUCGCAACUUCUUUUGUCGUGGCUAUAGUUUCAUAGCUUAAGUUCUGGGUCUUUCAUUUCCGACGGAAAUCGUAGUACUAAGUUUAUUUUCUUGAGAGGAAGUACUUUUGAAAGGGGAUUUUGCGAGGAACUACUAGUUAGUUAUAGAUGUAUUGUGCUCUCGUCUAAAAAAAAGGUAAAGAUGCAUUGUGCUCGCUAAUAUGCAUGUCUGGCCCAACCCUCCUUUUCUCUCUCAUCAGGCACGCCUAAACUGCCGUGUGUCAACGGAUCUUAGGGUGGGUUUAGUUGGCGCCCAAACUUGCCGUGCAAAAUAUUUGGUCUUCGCUUGGUUGGUUGUCAAAAAUUGGUUUCCUACGAAACUGACUCCCUUGCCUCACAAUCUUUCACAACUUUUGCCAAAAUUUGGCCAACAUGGGCCAAGAAACCUCUAACUAGAUUUUUGGUUAGCCAAUUGUCAGUAAGAAUUGGUAAGCUAUGAAUUGGCAUGAACAAAAGACAACCUUAGCUCCCUCUUCGCUGAGCCAUCAGGCCGUCCAUAUACAAUGACUUCCAUUGAAUUUUGCCUGCGUUUGUUCCGCAAUGUGUUAUUCUCAGCAGCUAAAGUAGUAAUUAGUUGGUAAUAGUCAUGACCCAUGAGUUAAAAAUUUAGAAAUUUAUUACAUAUGCUGAGAACUCACAGAGAACAUUGAAGUUUGAGCUCUAAAUCCUAGAUCCUCUGAAUACAUGUUUCCUCAUGGACCUCUAAUCUGUCUCCCAGGAAAACAAAAAAAAUCCGCCAACCAGAAUAGCAACACACUCCAUGGACACCAUGUAGAACACCCAACGUUGUUCAGGUCCGAGGUUGAUAUACAUCUUAACCAUGAAAUUAGUUACCGAAAUCAGCAUCGCAAUACCAAGUAGAAUACAUAUCGUCACAUUGACCUGCAUGACAAAAAUGGCAAACAUGGCAAAAAUGUUAUCAAGGUAGCAAUGAAAUAAACAGAUACACAGCGUGUCAACUACUAUAACAGGCAUACUUUAAAAUAAGUGGGCAUACGACACUUGGCAUCAACCUAAACACAUCGAACUCACAAUCGUUAUGUAAAGUACUACUCAACAUAUGGCUCGUGAAUAAAACAUUGCUACCUUGAUAAACACAUCGAACUAACAAUAGUUUUAUUCAUCAAAAUCUGAUACAAUCACGUGAAGCUUCUCCUUCCCUUGGAACGGUCAACCGAACAACCAGCGAACAAGAAGAAGAGAUAGGUCAUUCAAGAUUAAAAAUCUUACACAAUUGCCUGGUGAGGGAGUUCGGCGGCGACGUCUCGCAGGCACACCCACCUUCACCUGCCCCGUGUCGUAGCCGCUGCUCCUGCUCAGGCACCUCCGAAAGGCUUCAGCAUUCUGAAGUACAAGUACCAACAUAUCAACAAUACCAACCAAAAGGAAAAUGCAAACUGUUGACAAUAUGAACAUUAUGCAGGGUUAUAACUGUUUGAAAAUGAAUUCCACACAAGACUGCAUAAAUUCUUAGAGCAAAUCUAAUGCUUAUUCCGCCAUAAUCCAACUACAUUACAAUAUUGUUUUCAAUUGUUCACACAACACUGAACAUAGAUGAUGAACAAAGCAAACGCAAGAAAAAUUGCAAGUACAAGCCUCCAAAGUGCAUCACCGAAGAACUAGAUAAAAGAUCCUUAUUAGCAUUACCUUGGAUUUCCGUACCUGCUUCACUUGACCUGCAAAUCAACAAAAGGAAGAUUAAAACAAACCGUGUGCAGCCAAGAGGGGAUUAGGGUUCAGAAAUUCCAAAUCCUGGGUUUCCAAUAAAUGGUGAAAAGUGGGGAGGCAAGCACAGGAUAAAGAGGGGAGGGAAUUUUUGACAGGCACUCCUGGGGAAACCACGGCUUCAGUCUUCUUAGCAUUAUUGACAGGCCCAGCUAAAGGGACCAUAGCUUCAGUUUUCUCUACAUUGUUGACAGGAAUUGUAACUCCAGUCUUCUUUACAUUGUUGACAGGCCCAGUUGAACCAACCAUAGCUCCAGUCUUCUUACUGUUGACAGGCCCAGCUGAAGGAACCGUAGCUCCAGUCUGUGUUACAUUGUUGACAGGCUCGGCUGAAAUAGCCGUAGCUUCAGUCUUCUUUACAUUGUUGACAGGCCCAGCUGAAGCAACACUAGCUUCGGCCUUCUUUACUUUCUUGAGAACAGCAUUAUUAGAAGAAACAUUGGCAGGGGGAGAUCCAUUGAACAGCACAGGCCCACCAUGUGUCACCCUUUGCAACUUUGUUCUGGCCAUAGGUUGAUUUUGGAGGAUGAACAGCGCCUUCAGUAACAGGAUUCAAUACUUCCUCUAAGCUGAGGACAGAAAACUUCAGCGACCCAAACUGGAUCACAGGUAAUUCACGUGCUUUCUCCACGCUUUCAGUAUUACUUAUACCAGGCUGCCCCUGGAACAACUUGGUCUCGUCCUCCGUGAAGGACCCAAACAAAACAACCUGCAGUACAAGAUAAACUAUGAUGAGAACAAAGAACUUUAAGUAAUAGCAUAGCUUGUGGUACAACCAAACAGCAGCUGCAUCAAGAUAUCCUUGUCCCCCCCCCCCCCCCACCCCAACAACACACAAACAGAACUGCAGAGGCACAGACUCUAAAUCCUUUCUAUACAAAUUUUAAGGAGGGAGGCGUCUUUUUUUUUCCAUCCGCCUAUCAACAUGACGGCCGCACUCCAUUCAAAAGACAUAAACGGAGCACAAAGUGUUACAGUAAUGUAAAAAGCAGAAAUAAGACUAGAAACUACAGGUCUCUUAGAAAGCAGUAAAAGGAGAACGAGAAAAUAACCCCCUCAGCUGAACCAAUCAGCCGACCCCGCGCCACGCGCCCCAAACAUUCCAGCGAAGUUUCGCAAACAUUCAUUCAUCAAUAUACAUCACACGAAUAAAACGUCAGAAGAUUUGCUAGCACAUCCCAGUGCCUCGCCAGUCUUGAACAUCAACACAGCCUUCUUAACAUCACAGAACUGUAUAAGCACAGACUCUAGAUCCUUUCUAUACAAAUUUUAAGGAGGGGGGCGUCUGGGUUUAAGAAAAUAUCAAGCUUCAGCUCUAAAUCCAAUUUGAUACCCUUGUACUCAGCAUACCUUCCUUCCAAGCAACAACAGCAUAAGUACAGACCACCAAUCCAACCCCCAAAAUUCCUUCCGGACCCUACUACCGGUGCUAUGUAAUCUAGUAGCCACAAGUAGGCUUCACAGCUUGCUCACGCACGCACGCAGUCAGUAGCAUACAUCAGCAUGGCUGCUAGCUACUACGCCCUCCCCAACCAUCAACACCCCACCAUGCUUCUGCGCCGCAGCACAGCAGCAGCAGCAGAAGCAGCGACAGGAACCAGAAUCACGCGGAUGAAUCAAUUCAGUGAAUGUCAAACGAGAGGGGGCGGAUGGAUACUGCUACUACCUUGUCGGUGCCGCUCAUCUCCGCUGCGGUGGAGAGACGUCGGGCUGCGCGGGGGUUGUUGAGCUGGGGAAAAAGGGACGGCGCGUGGCGGCGCGCGUGAGGAGGAGGGGGGCGCUGGGUUUGAUCGCCGGGACGCGGGUUCGACCGGCGGCGGAGGCUAGGCCGGAGGGUUUGGAUUCGGCGUGGUUUA